Molecule: ribosomal RNA, 554 nt
Filed under: Staphylococcus aureus
Lineage: Bacteria; Bacillati; Bacillota; Bacilli; Caryophanales; Staphylococcaceae
Description: partial 23S ribosomal RNA
Rfam family: Bacterial large subunit ribosomal RNA
Source: RNAcentral
AGGGCGUUUAGUAUUUGGUCGUAGACCCGAAACCAGGUGAUCUACCCUUGGUCAGGUUGAAGUUCAGGUAACACUGAAUGGAGGACCGAACCGACUUACGUUGAAAAGUGAGCGGAUGAACUGAGGGUAGCGGAGAAAUUCCAAUCGAACCUGGAGAUAGCUGGUUCUCUCCGAAAUAGCUUUAGGGCUAGCCUCAAGUGAUGAUUAUUGGAGGUAGAGCACUGUUUGGACGAGGGGCCCCUCUCGGGUUACCGAAUUCAGACAAACUCCGAAUGCCAAUUAAUUUAACUUGGGAGUCAGAACAUGGGUGAUAAGGUCCGUGUUCGAAAGGGAAACAGCCCAGACCACCAGCUAAGGUCCCAAAAUAUAUGUUAAGUGGAAAAGGAUGUGGCGUUGCCCAGACAACUAGGAUGUUGGCUUAGAAGCAGCCAUCAUUUAAAGAGUGCGUAAUAGCUCACUAGUCGAGUGACACUGCGCCGAAAAUGUACCGGGGCUAAACAUAUUACCGAAGCUGUGGAUUGUCCUUUGGACAAUGGUAGGAGAGCGUUCUAAGG